RNAcentral lists this long non-coding RNA (1151 nucleotides) under Homo sapiens (human). RNAcentral's name for it is "HSALNT0357256". Lineage: Eukaryota; Metazoa; Chordata; Mammalia; Primates; Hominidae. The record is from RNAcentral.
AGAUGUAUGAAUCAGACAGUCCUGGUCGUCUACGUAUCUUUAUCUACUGAGAGUUUUGUGGGUUUUUUUGUUUAUUUUUUUGAGACAGAAUCUCACUCUGUAGUCACCCAGGCUGGAAUGCAGUGGUGCGAUCUUGGCUCACUGCAACCUCCACCUCCCAGAUGCAAGCGAUUCUUGUGCCUCAGCCUCCCGAGUAGCUGGGAUUAAAGGCAUGCGCCACCACGCCCAGGAGACAGCUUCCCAAGGCUGGAAAGAGGGGAGUGCGGAACAUGCCUCCACCAUACCACUGCCCACCUCCUGUGACCUCUGCAGCAAAACCUGAAGCCCCAAAGAGGCAGCUUCUCAAAGUAAAAGUGGAAUGAAGAGUCGGGGUUUCACCAUGUUGCCCGGCCUGGUCUCGAACUCCUGGCCUCAAGUCUCUCUGGCUCAGCCUUCCAAAGUGCCAGGAUAACAGGCGUGAACCACGACACCCAGCUUGCUUUGUGUACUUCUAGGGGCUCAGGUGAACCACAUGAGUUCCUGGAUGUGCUUCCAUGUUUCACAGUGAAUUCAUGUUUUUGGUCCAAUCAUGACCAUUUAGACUGUUUAAGAAGGCUGUGUACCAGCUUUAAUAUUGUAUUUUAUGAUAUUAGUGAUCCCUGAAUUUUAUUUGAAAAAAUAUUAUUUUACUGAGUGAUUUAGUAGGCUUGAUCAUUUUCCUUGCAGCUUUCAUAUUUUGUGACACACUGAUUUAAGAAUCAAGUCUAUAUCUGAAUGUGAAAAAUCUGCAAUGAGGAUAGCAAACAAUUAUAUUGUUUUAAUAGAAAAAUUAUUUGAUAAUUUCCAUGUAUUGAUGAUUUCAGUAGAAUCUAUUCUGCAUUUAACCAACAAUCAGUAGUUCCCAAGCUAUUCCGUAGUUUUAGCUUUAACACAUAGUACAUGCUUAAUAAACAUUAGCUGAAUGAAUGAAUGAAUGAAUGACUAAAGACUUUCAGGACCUGGAAGGGAGGAUGUAAAGAACCCAGGGCCAAGUGUCAUGCAAGCACUGGAGCAUCUAGAUCCCCUCCGGACACCAGCUUCCUUUCCCACAACCCAAAUGUUCUUUUCCUUUUAUGAAUUUUCUUUAAUCGUGACAAAAUAUAUAUAAUAUAAAAUGUAUCAUUUUAACUGUU